GAUGAACGCUGGCGGCGUGCCUAAUACAUGCAAGUCGAGCGAACAGAUGAGGAGCUUGCUCCUCUGACGUUAGCGGCGGACGGGUGAGUAACACGUGGAUAACCUACCUAUAAGACUGGGAUAACUUCGGGAAACCGGAGCUAAUACCGGAUAAUAUAUUGAACCGCAUGGUUCAAUAGUGAAAGACGGUUUUGCUGUCACUUAUAGAUGGAUCCGCGCCGCAUUAGCUAGUUGGUAAGGUAACGGCUUACCAAGGCAACGAUGCGUAGCCGACCUGAGAGGGUGAUCGGCCACACUGGAACUGAGACACGGUCCAGACUCCUACGGGAGGCAGCAGUAGGGAAUCUUCCGCAAUGGGCGAAGGCCUGACGGAGCAACGCCGCGUGAGUGAUGAAGGUCUUCGGAUCGUAAAACUCUGUUAUUAGGGAAGAACAAAUGUUUAAGUAACUAUGCACGUCUUGACGGUACCUAAUCAGAAAGCCACGGCUAACUACGUG
This 497-nucleotide ribosomal RNA is filed under the name uncultured bacterium. RNAcentral describes it as "partial 16S ribosomal RNA". It matches the Rfam family "Bacterial small subunit ribosomal RNA", at positions 28 to 507 of the family's 1533-position model. The record is from RNAcentral.